GGAUGUGAGGGGGAUCUGGCUGCGACAUCUGUCACCCCAUUGAUCACCAGGGCUGGCUCAGCUGAUCUGGCUGGCUAGGCAGGUGUUCCCUUCGUUCCUCACCACUCC
Unclassified non-coding RNA from Fukomys damarensis (Damara mole-rat), 108 nucleotides. Its record names the gene 7SK. It matches the Rfam family "7SK RNA". Rfam says of the family: 7SK was discovered as an abundant small nuclear RNA in the mid-70s but a possible function has only recently been suggested. Two independent studies have found that 7SK RNA binds the CDK9/cyclin T complex (known as elongation factor P-TEFb). The record is from Ensembl. NCBI's taxonomy places the organism in Eukaryota, Metazoa, Chordata, Mammalia, Rodentia, Bathyergidae.